This 305-nucleotide ribosomal RNA is filed under the name uncultured bacterium. Its description in RNAcentral is "bacterial SSU rRNA". It matches the Rfam family "Bacterial small subunit ribosomal RNA", at positions 337 to 657 of the family's 1533-position model. The record is from RNAcentral.
ACCUACGGGGGGCAGCAGUGGGGAAUAUUGGACAAUGGGGGGAACCCUGAUCCAGCGACGCCGCGUGAGUGAAGAAGUAUUUCGGUAUGUAAAGCUCUAUCAGCAGGGAAGAAAGAAAUGAUGGUACCUGACUAAGAAGCCCCGGCUAACUACGUGCCAGCAGCCGCGGUAAUACGUAGGGGGCAAGCGUUAUCCGGAUUUACUGGGUGUAAAGGGAGCGUAGACGGUUACGCAAGUCUGGAGUGAAAGGCGGGGCCCAACCCCCGGACUGCUUUGGCAACUGUAUAACUGGAAUGCAGGAGAGG